GCGAACGCUAGCGGCGGGCUUAACACAUGCAAGUCGAGCGGAGAGCUUCGGCUCUCAGCGGCGAACGGGUGAGUAACACGUAGGUCACGUACCCUUUGAUGGGGAAUAACCUAGGGAAACCUGGGCUAAUACCGCAUAUGUCCUUCGGGAUGAAAGCCUUCGGGCGUCAGAGGAUUGGCCUGCGGCCCAUUAUUUAAUCCUAGUUGGUAGGGUAAUGGCCUACCAAGGGUACGAUGGGUAGCUGGUCUGAGAGGAUGAUCAGCCACACUGGAACUGAGACACGGUUCAGACUCCUACGGGAGGCAGCAGUCUAGAAGCUUCCGCAAUGGGCGAAAGCCUGACGGAGCGACGCCGCGUGCGCGGAGAAGGCCUUCGGGUUGUAAAGCGCUGUCAUCGGGGAAGAGAACCCGCGAGGAGACCCUCGCGGGCGCGACGGUACCCGAGAAGGAAGCCCCGGCUAACUCCGUG
RNAcentral lists this ribosomal RNA (468 nucleotides) under uncultured bacterium. RNAcentral's name for it is "bacterial SSU rRNA". It matches the Rfam family "Bacterial small subunit ribosomal RNA", at positions 29 to 507 of the family's 1533-position model. The record is from RNAcentral.